This 823-nucleotide long non-coding RNA is filed under the name Pan troglodytes (chimpanzee). RNAcentral describes it as "lincRNA". The record is from RNAcentral. Lineage: Eukaryota; Metazoa; Chordata; Mammalia; Primates; Hominidae.
CAGAAUUGAUCUCGGUGGCAGCACCUCUGGUGGGUCGACCCUGCAGCUUCUCCUGAGCAGUUUCGUUAGUUUUUGGGUCCUAGAACCGCUAGUGGUACCAUAGCGGCUCUUCAUGGGUUGCAGGACGUUUGCCAACUCCACCCCACGCUGCCUGCCUAGGUUCAGGCUACGGGGCAAAAAGAACAGACUCCUGCAAAGGAAGAACCCCGAGGGUUGGCUAUUUAGGAAAGACGUCCUUUGCAGUGCCAAGUCCGCGGAUGCUGCACUUGACUUUCUCCUCCCUCCUGGGGAAGAAUUGAUGUUUACCUCUCCCCACUCUCCGGGCCGCAUUAUCCAGGGAUUUCUGGGACUAGACUACCUGAGAUUUUAGCGCUUCUACUGGAUCAUCCUUUUGGAAAUAAUUAUCACUUACAAUAAUGUCUAUCCGGGCCAGGUGCGGUGGCUCACACCUGUAAUCCCAGCACUUUGGAAGGCCGAGGAGGGUGGAUCACGAGGUCAGGAGAUCGAGACCACCCUGGCCAACAUGGUGAAACCUCGUCUCUACUAAAAGUACAAAAAUUAGCCGGACGUGGUGGCGCGCGCCUGUAGUCCGAGCUACUCGGGAGGUUAAGGCAGGAGAAUAGCUUGAACCAGGAGGACUAGGUUGCAGUGAGCCGAGAUCCUGCCACUGCACUCCAGCCUGGCAAAAGAGCAAGACUCCGUCUCAAUAAUAAUAAUAAUAAUAAUAAUAAUGUCUAUCCAUGUUCUUUAAAAAAGUUUGCCUUCACUAUUCUUUGUCAACGUUUGGUUGUCUUUCUCAAUAAAAUAAGAGAGAAACAUCAAA